This 468-nucleotide ribosomal RNA is filed under the name uncultured bacterium. RNAcentral's name for it is "partial 16S ribosomal RNA". It matches the Rfam family "Bacterial small subunit ribosomal RNA", at positions 28 to 507 of the family's 1533-position model. The record is from RNAcentral.
GACGAACGCUGGCGGCGUGCUUAACACAUGCAAGUCGAACGGAAAGGCCCUGCUUUUGUGGGGUGCUCGAGUGGCGAACGGGUGAGUAACACGUGAGUAACCUGCCCUUGACUUUGGGACAACUUCAGGAAACUGGGGCUAAUACCGGAUAGGAGCUCCUGCUGCAUGGUGGGGGUUGGAAAGUUUCGGCGGUUGGGGAUGGACUCGCGGCUUAUCAGCUUGUUGGUGGGGUAGUGGCUUACCAAGGCUUUGACGGGUAGCCGGCCUGAGAGGGUGACCGGCCACAUUGGGACUGAGAUACGGCCCAGACUCCUACGGGAGGCAGCAGUGGGGAAUAUUGCACAAUGGGCGGAAGCCUGAUGCAGCAACGCCGCGUGCGGGAUGACGGCCUUCGGGUUGUAAACCGCUUUCGCCUGUGACGAAGCGUGAGUGACGGUAAUGGGUAAAGAAGCGCCGGCUAACUACGUG